CCCCUAGUAACGGCGAGCGAAGCGGGAAGAGCUCAAAUUUGAAAGCUGGCGUCUUCGGCGUCCGCGUUGUAAUCUCGAGACGUGUUUUCCGUGCGGCUCUAUGGACAAGUCCCUUGGAACAGGGCAUCGUAGAGGGUGAAAAUCCCGUACUUGCCAUGGAAGUACCGUGCUUUGUGAUACACGCUCCAAGAGUCGAGUAGUUUGGGAUUGCUGCUCAAAGUGGGUGGUAGACUCCAUCUAAAGCUAAAUAUCGGGGAGAGACCGAUAGCGAACAAGUACCGUGAGGGAAAGAUGAAAAGCACUUUGGAAAGAGAGUUAAAAGUACGUGAAAUUGUCGAAAGGGAAGCACUUGAAGUCAGCCAUGCUGCUUGAGACUCAGCCUGGCUUUUGCUUGGUGUAUUUCUCGGUAGCAAGCCAGCAUUGGUUUGUGUCGUCGGAGAAGCGUAUGGGGAAUGUGGCAUCCUCGGAUGUGUUAUAGCCCUGUGCAGGAUACGACGACGCAGACCAAGGAACGCAGUGUGCCCUCUGGGCGGGUCUUCGGACACCUUCACACUUAG
Molecule: ribosomal RNA, 557 nt
Filed under: Malassezia restricta
Lineage: Eukaryota; Fungi; Basidiomycota; Malasseziomycetes; Malasseziales; Malasseziaceae
Description: eukaryotic LSU rRNA
Rfam family: Eukaryotic large subunit ribosomal RNA
Source: RNAcentral